CUAUGCUUAGCCCUAAACAUUGACUGUUUAUUACAUAAACAUCCGCCUGGGAACUACGAACAUUAGUUUAAAACCCAAAGGACUUGGCGGUGCUUAAUAUCCACCUAGAGGAGCCUGUCCUAUAACCGAUAAUCCCCGUUAAACCUCACCUUCUCUCGCAAUAUCAGCCUAUAUACCGCCGUCGCCAGCUUACCCUUUGAAGGACUAACAGUAAGCACAAUUGGUACAACCCAAUACGUCAGGUCGAGGUGUAGCCUAUGAGAAGGGAAGAGAUGGGCUACAUUCACUAACAUAGUGAAUACGAAUAGUAUAUUGAAACAUAUACUUGAAGGAGGAUUUAGCAGUAAGCAGGAAAUAGAGUGUUCUGCUGAAGCCGGCUCUUAAGCGCGUACAUACCGCCCGUCACCCUCGCCAAGCCCUACCAAUUAUUUUUUCUAAAUCACUUAUAAAGCUAAGGAGAGGAAAGUCGUAACAUGGUAA
This 480-nucleotide ribosomal RNA is filed under the name Coryphaena hippurus (common dolphinfish). RNAcentral's name for it is "partial 12S ribosomal RNA". It matches the Rfam family "Bacterial small subunit ribosomal RNA", at positions 790 to 1499 of the family's 1533-position model. The record is from RNAcentral. Lineage: Eukaryota; Metazoa; Chordata; Actinopteri; Carangiformes; Coryphaenidae.